AUGAUUUUUGCUCCUAUGUUUCUUGAUUUUAUGUGAAGUUUUAAUAUCUGUUUUAUUAUACAUCACACUGGGUGUCUGAUAGAUGGAAAAUGUGAUUUUAAGUUUAAUGAAUUAUCUCACUUUAUCUAGUGCUUCUGAUGUUCAUAGGAUUGUGCAGAUAAAUAUAUAAAAGAGAGAUCAAGAGAUCCCUGUCCCAUGGAGCUUACAAUGUAAAGUUCAGCAGUCAGGAACACAACUGGGAAGUUGAAAGGAAGGAGAAGCAGGAACAGGGAGCAAUGAUUAUGGGGGGAAAUACCACUGUAUGUACUUAGGGUUGUUCAUACAAAAGUAGGCCUAUUGAAAUAAAUGGAAUUGAGGUUGGUAAUGACAAACUGAAGUUACAUUGAUGUCAGUGGGUCUACUCUAAGUAGGACUAUGUUUGUAUUCAACCCAUAGGUUUUGUUUCUCAUGGGGAUGAAGACAGUUCAGAAAAUUCCCUCAGCAUGGUUCUAAUGUGGCUGUAUGUUAUGUUCAAGUAACUCGCAUUAGCUUUGUUAACCCAGUUUAUUGCCCACUGAACCUCAACCCAUGUGCCUCCCAUCCUCCCAGAUGUACAUGACCUAGUGUGAUAAGGUGCCUCCUCAGAGCAGCUAGCUGGUAAAAUAUUGCAGUACUUUUUACUGGCUGUGUCACUGGAAACCAAGGGCCUGGAAAGAAACAAGGAGACAGUAGAGCAGCCUUCCUCAAACAGGCACCCAUUAGAUGUGUUGGACUACAACUCCCAUCACCUCAUGUUAGCUGAGGGUGAUGGAUGUGUAAAUUGGGGAAGGCUGCAGUGGAGAAAUGGGGAAAGAUUUGCUGUAAGAACAAGGGGAAAGAGGUAUAGAGGUCUCAGUUUCAAAUAUUGAUGGACACUGGCCAGCAAUCUGCAAGUUUUAAUGGGGAUCCACAGUCUGUGCCAAGUAACAGAAGCAGAAAGAGAAGUGUGUGUGUGGUGGGGGGGAGGAGCAGGAUUUGGAGCCCAUGUAAUAAAAAGCAAGGCAAGACUGUAUGGUGAGAAUUUGGAGGCUGCAGGGUGUGAUGCAGGUCUAUGUUAAGCAUCAGGAAGAAGUCUCUUUGGGGAAAUGCUGGGUUUAUUUUGGAUAAAGCAAUAUUUGAGAGAUACCAAGCCAAAGUAAAUGAGGUGGGAAAGCAGCCAUUCCUGGCAGCCUGAAGGGCUGGAUUGGUAAAAGCCCAAAGCAGCUCCUUUGCUGCAGUUGAUGGAAGGUGGAAGUGGCUGUUUAGGCAGCACAAAUCAGACUGUUCUCAGUCUGCAGACUGUCUGAUUCAUCCCCCCACUCUCCUUAGCCUCCCUGGGGACCAGGUCAAACUUCCUUUGCUAGAACUUCAGGCUUAAUCCUAAUACCUAACAUAUCUGUCUGGAUUUAUGCAGGAGACUAGUUGCCUUUUGGGAAAAGACAGGGUGAGGAAUAAUUGCAGAGAAGCUAAUGACUGACAGUUGUGGAUGAGUGGGGAUAGUUUGAGCUCCUAACCCUUUCCCCCUUUGCCGGAAUUACCCACCCCCGAUCAAGGCAAGUAUGAGAUUGGGCAGCUCUUUUUAUCUGCUGCAGAAUGGGGCAGCCUUCCCACAGUUGGAGCCUGUGUCCCAGGAGCAUUUCUGGAAGCAGCGACUUUGGCAAGAACUGUAAAGAAAAUCCAUUAAGUAGAAGAAGAUGGAAGAACUGGGAGCACUAGAAUCCCUUUGUUUGAAAGCACCAUGGUCUGGAGUGCCGAUUAAAAAGUCUAGGUUCUUCACUGCCACUUUCCAUUCACUUCCCGCUGGUUCCUAGGCACAAUGCAACAUGCUGUGCCCUUUAAAGCCCUAUAUAGUUUGGGCCCAGGAACUCUUAAGGACUGCCUCCACAGCCAUCCAGCCUGCCUAUCAGAUCCAUCUUUCAGAGGUGCAUUUGGUGGUGAGCCAAGAGGAAGCCUUUUCAGUUGCAGUGCCCGAGCGAAACUCCCUCCCUAGAAGUCCAUAUGGCUCCUCGAUUGCAGGCUCCUCUUCUGUUGAGCAGCAGAAUCUACUUUAUUCUGCCCAGCCUUGACUGUGGACUCAGUUUUGUUGCCCCAAAUAUGAAUGAUUGAUUUUUAUUUAUUUUAAGUUGCAUUUUACCUGCAAUGUCCUGCUGCUUCAUGCCUGUGUUUUUAUUUGUGAUGUUUUUUUAAUGGUGAUGUAUUGGGUCUUUUAGUUUUGUUUUUUUCCCUUAAACCUCAUCGAAGCCUUUAAUUGAAAAAGCAGCCUCUAAAUAUAAGGAGGGUGAAGAAUUUGAAGGAAAACCUCUCAUUCAAGUCCUUUUAGAUUUCAAUACAACGCAUACAACAAAUAAAAAGAAACACAGAAAUAUU
Molecule: long non-coding RNA, 2364 nt
Organism: Varanus komodoensis (Komodo dragon)
Lineage: Eukaryota; Metazoa; Chordata; Lepidosauria; Squamata; Varanidae
Exons: 2
Source: RefSeq, a predicted model, not a curated record